RNAcentral lists this ribosomal RNA (400 nucleotides) under uncultured bacterium. RNAcentral's name for it is "bacterial SSU rRNA". It matches the Rfam family "Bacterial small subunit ribosomal RNA", at positions 355 to 748 of the family's 1533-position model. The record is from RNAcentral.
UGGGGAAUAUUGGACAAUGGGCGGAAGCCUGAUCCAGCAAUACCGCGUGUGUGAAGAAGGCCUGAGGGUUGUAAAGCACUUUCAAUGGGGAGGAAUACCCGGUAGCUAAUACCUGCCGGACUGACAUUACCCAUACAAGAAGCACCGGCUAACUCCGUGCCAGCAGCCGCGGUAAUACGGAGGGUGCAAGCGUUAAUCGGAAUUACUGGGCGUAAAGCGUGCGUAGGCGGCUCGCUAAGCCAGAUGUGAAAGCCCCGGGCUCAACCUGGGAACUGCAUUUGGAACUGGCGAGCUAGAGUUAGGUAGAGGAGAGUGGAAUUUCAGGUGUAGCGGUGAAAUGCGUAGAUAUCUGAAGGAACACCAGUGGCGAAGGCGGCUCUCUGGACCCAAACUGACGCUG